This 101-nucleotide transfer RNA is filed under the name Pyronema domesticum. RNAcentral's name for it is "tRNA-Leu". It matches the Rfam family "tRNA". From Rfam's summary of the family: Transfer RNA (tRNA) molecules are approximately 80 nucleotides in length. Their secondary structure includes four short double-helical elements and three loops (D, anti-codon, and T loops). The record is from RNAcentral. Lineage: Eukaryota; Fungi; Ascomycota; Pezizomycetes; Pezizales; Pyronemataceae.
GGCGGGAUGGCCGAGUUGGUUAUGGCGCCAGGUUAAGGUCCUCCUUAGCACAAUCUCCUGGUUCGGGAAACUGAGCGUGGGUUCAAGUCCCACUUCCGUCA